CAGCAGCCACGGUAAUACGAAGGGGGCUAGCGUUGUUCGGAAUUACUGGGCGUAAAGGGCGCGUAGGCGGCCAUUCAAGUUAGAUGUGAAAGCCCUGGGCUCAACCUAGGAAUUGCAUUUGAUACUGUUUGGCUUGAGUUCGGGAGAGGUGAGUGGAAUUCCCAGUGUAGAGGUGAAAUUCGUAGAUAUUGGGAAGAACACCAGUGGCGAAGGCGGCUCACUGGACCGACACUGACGCUGAGGCGCGAAAGCGUGGGGAGCAAACAGGAUUAGAUACCCCUGUAGUCCCUGUCUCUUAUAU
Molecule: ribosomal RNA, 301 nt
Filed under: uncultured bacterium
Lineage: Bacteria
Description: partial 16S ribosomal RNA
Rfam family: Bacterial small subunit ribosomal RNA
Source: RNAcentral